CGCCCCCUCUCGGCGGCCUGGGUCUGUUCGCCCGCGCGCGGUCCCGCCGCCUCACGCGCGCGUCUCCCUUGCUCCCCAGCGCUCACGCUCGCGCGCAGUUCCCUGUCGCCGGCUAGCCUUCAGCCGCCGACGUCUCGGCCCCUCAGAAAGCCGGUCGCACCAUGUCUUCGCCUCCCGAGGGAAAGCUAGAGACGAAAGCAGGACACCCGCCCGCCGUGAAAGCUGGUGGGAUGCGAAUUGUGCAGAAACAUCCGCACUCUGGAGAUGCCAAGGAAGAGAAGGACAAGGAUGACCAGGAGUGGGAAAGCCCCAGCCCACCCAAACCGACGGUGUUCAUCUCUGGAGCCAUCGCCCGGGGUGAUAAAGACUUUCCCCCUGCGGCUGCCCAGGUGGCCCACCAGAAGCCCCAUGCCUCCAUAGACAAGCAUCCAUGCCCGAGAACCCAGCACAUCCAGCAGCCUCGCAAGUGAUCGGCGAGCACCCACCACCCACCCUAGCCUCGGUUCCCUGACACUUGGUAUUUCCCAACAAAGAGGACUGGCAUCUUCUUCAAAACACUUCCCCGUGGAGAAAUCCAAGACAAAGCAAAACUCCCCUUCCGUUGCCUUAAAUUUCCACAUCUAACACUAGAAUCAGACCCCAAACCUUGUUUGCAGGGAGUCCUGGCUGGUGUCACUUGAGGGUCCUUGGGCCUCUUACAAGUGCCAUUAGCAGAACUUACCGGACCUGAGUGAAAUGAGCUUGUUCAGAGUUUAGCUUUGUUCCCAUUCAUCGGCUGCCCUGUCAGUGGACUUAAAAACAAGCGGGCACAGAUUUUGGAGGGUUAGAGGAAGGUCAGGGGAAAGCUCAGUCAUUUCAUGCUUUUUGGUAAGAGGACCAUAACGUCUUAACACCUAGUGGACAGAGAAAGAGAUGAAGGCAUUGAUUACAGGAAGGCUGAGCAGGGGAGACUUUUGAAACAGGCAACAGCAUCGCUGUAUUUCCCUCCCUUGUGUGACAAGGGAUCACAGCACAGGAGACACCAAGCACUCACAGAAAGGCCACGGAAAAGCUCACAGCUUUGAAAUGGCUCUUCUUUCCCAGGAGUCAUCUUGCUGAAAAUUUUGCCCAAACCAGAUCUGUCAGUGCGGGUCCCAAGUCCGGCACAGCCCCACCAUCCAUAAUGGGUUUGUAGGAAAUCAAGGAAAACCUUCCUUCUUCAAGCAUCACCUCCAGAGCUGUCUUCAGGUUCUGGCCGUGAUCACUGACCAGGUGACACAUAGCUAGUCUUGGAACCCUAGAGCAAAAGCCGUUAACGUCCGUGGAAAGACCAGAUGAAAACCUGCCCUUUGCCUCCCUAGGGAAAAGCAGAACACCAUGUGCCAUUUGAGCUACAAAAGCCUGUUUGUCAACCAGUCAAAGUGUCCAGAUUCCCUCUGCCCAAGGGCCCCGUUGCCUGGGCCCAUGUUCACUUGCCAUCUCAAACCGUCUAGCACUUUCUGUCCACAUGUCCUGCCCAGAGCCACCCUAGACUGCCCACUGGCUCAUAGCUACCAUAUGCCUUGCUUUUCUGAAAAGCCAAAGGGCUCAUUUAUUUACUCAGAGGUUCAAAUCUCCCAGAGCAGAUGCUUUGAGAGAAGUCCUUGCGAUGCCUUCUCCAGGUCCACAGCCAUGACUGGUAAGAGUGCCAGAGGCCAGGAGACCCAGCUCUCAUCCUUCCCUAAGGGAAAAGCCAGCACUUCUUCACAUCCUAAAAGUAAUGUUUGGUUUCCCAUCUCAUUGAUGUGGGAGCCGGGGUCUUACCCUGCAAGCGCUGUAUAGUCACGUCUCCUAGUCCUUAAUUGCUAAGAUGCUGCCAUACUCUGGGGCUGGCUUGUGGAGAUGCAGGCUAGAUGGGCAGCCACCUCCUGGAGGCAGCAUCUCUGAAGGAUGCUGAGAGCAGACAGCACCAGGUCAGGUCUGUGGACCACUACACCCUCUGCUGCAGAAAUGAAGACACGUCCUCGAUGCUUUUUAGUGUUGCAGCCAGGAUCAACUCGCUACUCCCCAUGGUGCAUCUUUCACGUCCUUUUUGCUACAUCUGGCAUGGAGCUGUGUGUUGUAGAAUCACUGAACGCAAAAGGUUCUCCUGGAUGAGUUUAUCUGUAGUUAACUUUUAAGAAUAAUAAUGGUGAUAAUAAAGCUCCUGCAUU
This 2171-nucleotide long non-coding RNA is filed under the name Sus scrofa (pig). RNAcentral describes it as "lncRNA (ENSSSCG00030024113.1)". The record is from RNAcentral. Lineage: Eukaryota; Metazoa; Chordata; Mammalia; Artiodactyla; Suidae.